AUUCAAGUUGAUUGCGCAGUAGGGAUUCUGAGUUCAAAUUCUAUCAGCCUUCUAAUUUUAUUUAAUUUUUUUGCUUAAUUUAAGUUCACGUGUUUAAAUAUGAGAUGUAGAUCUGACAAACGGAUGAGUUGGACAUCGCUGGCAGAUCAUUGUAUUUGCAGAUUAUGCGGACAUAAAAAAAAUUUAUCUAUAAAUUUUUAGAUAGUCGGUGGAUUUAUGGGUCACUCACAACAUAAUCAUUUUUUUAUUUUAUUUUUAUAUUUUUUCAAACAAAAAUAACAUAUAUAUUAUUUUUAAAACAUUAAAAUUUAAUUUUUUUGUUUAAAACAUGACAGCAUAUAACGGAUGCUAAAGAAAAAAAUAGUAUCACGAGAAUUUAGUGUUAAGGUUCUAUAAACGGAUAAAAUAAACAGAGUAUUCACUGUUUCAUCUUUAAUUUUUUAAAAGAAUUAUAUAUGUGGGUACUCGUGGAUACCCGCAUGUUGUUUAAAAUAUCUAUAAUUUAACGGAUAUCCGUCAAUUUUACUCAUAAUUUUUUGAGUUGAAAAAAUUAGUAUUCAUGUCCAUAAAUUUACAAAUAAUUUGUAGAUAUCCG
RNAcentral lists this long non-coding RNA (595 nucleotides) under Ananas comosus (pineapple). Its description in RNAcentral is "long non-coding RNA (ACOM_LNC018692)". Lineage: Eukaryota; Viridiplantae; Streptophyta; Magnoliopsida; Poales; Bromeliaceae. The record is from RNAcentral.